GUCUCCGUUGGUGAACCAGCGGAAGGAUCAUUACAGUAUUCUUUUGCCAGCGCUUAACUGCGCGGCGAAAAACCUUACACACAGUGUCUUUUUGAUACAGAACUCUUGCUUUGGUUUGGCCUAGAGAUAGGUUGGGCCAGAGGUUUAACAAAACACAAUUUAAUUAUUUUUACAGUUAGUCAAAUUUUGAAUUAAUCUUCAAAACUUUCAACAACGGAUCUCUUGGUUCUCGCAUCGAUGAAGAACGCAGCGAAAUGCGAUAAGUAAUAUGAAUUGCAGAUUUUCGUGAAUCAUCGAAUCUUUGAACGCACAUUGCGCCCUCUGGUAUUCCAGAGGGCAUGCCUGUUUGAGCGUCAUUUCUCUCUCAAACCCCCGGGUUUGGUAUUGAGUGAUACUCUUAGUCGGACUAGGCGUUUGCUUGAAAAGUAUUGGCAUGGGUAGUACUAGAUAGUGCUGUCGACCUCUCAAUGUAUUAGGUUUAUCCAACUCGUUGAAUGGUGUGGCGGGAUAUUUCCGGUAUUGUUGGCCCGGCCUUACAACAACCAAACAAGUUUGACCUCAAAUCAGGUAGGAAUACCCGCUGAACUUAAGCAUAU
RNAcentral lists this ribosomal RNA (596 nucleotides) under Pichia sp. SO. RNAcentral describes it as "eukaryotic LSU rRNA". The stretch from base 203 to 356 matches the Rfam family "5.8S ribosomal RNA". The record is from RNAcentral. Lineage: Eukaryota; Fungi; Ascomycota; Pichiomycetes; Pichiales; Pichiaceae.